AUGGCCGGCCAGCCCUGGCUGGUGGCCUGUAACACAUCCAACUGGCUUAGCAGUCUCCCACAGCAGGAAGCAGAGGACCCCACAGGGCUGAACUGUACCUCUGUCCUUGUAGCCACUGCUUGCCCGGGGUCACUGAUACCAUGUGGCAGUUCUGGGGUCCCCUCUGGUCCCACCAGCCUGAACUGCCAAGGCGUGAUGCUGCUCCCUGCUGACACCCUUUCAGCUCCCCUCCCACUUACCUGCAGCUGGGACAGCCUCUUCAGCAAGCCCUCCCUCACUGCCCCACCGGGCUUUCCCCGGAGCUCAGCUGGAGCCAGCAGGGCCCUGCCCUCCCUCUCCUGGGAGGCAUCAGAGAGGAGCCGGUCCCCAAAGCCGCCAGGAGCAGUGGGGAUGGAAUUGAGGACCCGGAGAGUUGGUGGCCAGGGAGACCUCUUGUGGAUCCAGGAAAUCUUUUGUUACCAAUCAGCAGUCUGCCGAUGGCCGGAUGGGUCCUCUAGGGAAAGAAGGCGUAAUCUCAGCACUGUGGGAGGCUGAGGCAGGAGGAUCACAAAUUCUAACCAGCCUGGGUAAGUGAGCGACUUAGUGCGACCCCAUCUCAAAAUAAAAAAAUGGUUGGAGUGGGGAGCAGCACCACAGCCUAGACCCUUUGUUUCCCCCCCAGCCU
RNAcentral lists this long non-coding RNA (664 nucleotides) under Fukomys damarensis (Damara mole-rat). RNAcentral's name for it is "lncRNA (ENSFDAG00000031212.1)". The record is from RNAcentral. Lineage: Eukaryota; Metazoa; Chordata; Mammalia; Rodentia; Bathyergidae.